Molecule: long non-coding RNA, 342 nt
Filed under: Dasypus novemcinctus (nine-banded armadillo)
Lineage: Eukaryota; Metazoa; Chordata; Mammalia; Cingulata; Dasypodidae
Description: lncRNA (ENSDNOG00000052500.1)
Source: RNAcentral
AUAUACUUUGCUUGUUAAGAUGUGAUUGUCAAUAAUUAUGCAAAACUGCAAUUUAUUUCAGCAGCAACUUUAUCCCGGGAUGUGCAAACCCGGCAAUAAAAAACUCCUGCUGAGCCAGUGGCAGCAAAGCCCCCGGAAGAGCUGUUAUUCAUCAUGGUUACAGCCGCUUCCUGGUUGAAAGCAAGAAUCUGCUGAAGAGGCAAAGUGCUGGAACUAUAAAGUUUAGUACAACCCUGCACCUUCCUAAGACAGUACCCAUCCAGAGACAACCUGCCUAAAGGUAAGGAAUCAUAGAAGGCAUGUGCUCAUUAUCUUCAUUUUCUUCUUAAGACCUUAUUACCC